This 474-nucleotide ribosomal RNA is filed under the name uncultured organism. RNAcentral describes it as "partial 16S ribosomal RNA". It matches the Rfam family "Bacterial small subunit ribosomal RNA", at positions 333 to 798 of the family's 1533-position model. The record is from RNAcentral.
ACACUCCUACGGGAGGCAGCAGUGGGGAAUUUUGGACAAUGGGCGAAAGCCUGAUCCAGCAAUGCCGCGUGAGUGAAGAAGGCCUUCGGGUUGUAAAGCUCUUUUGUCAGGGAAGAAACGGUGAGAGCUAAUAUCUCUUGCUAAUGACGGUACCUGAAGAAUAAGCACCGGCUAACUACGUGCCAGCAGCCGCGGUAAUACGUAGGGUGCAAGCGUUAAUCGGAAUUACUGGGCGUAAAGCGUGCGCAGGCGGUUUUGUAAGUCUGAUGUGAAAUCCCCGGGCUCAACCUGGGAAUUGCAUUGGAGACUGCAAGGCUAGAAUCUGGCAGAGGGGGGUAGAAUUCCACGUGUAGCAGUGAAAUGCGUAGAUAUGUGGAGGAACACCGAUGGCGAAGGCAGCCCCCUGGGUCAAGAUUGACGCUCAUGCACGAAAGCGUGGGGAGCAAACAGGAUUAGAAACCCCGGUAGUCCCAU